AGCGAACGCUGGCGGCAGGCCUAACACAUACAAGUCGAACGAACUCUUCGGAGUUAGUGGCGGACGGGUGAGUAACACGUGGGAACGUGCCUUUUGGUUCGGAAUAACUCAGGGAAACUUGUGCUAAUACCGAAUGUGCCCUUCGGGGGAAAGAUUUAUCGCCAUUAGAGCGGCCCGCGUCUGAUUAGCUAGUUGGUGAGGUAACGGCUCACCAAGGCGACGAUCAGUAGCUGGUCUGAGAGGAUGACCAGCCACACUGGGACUGAGACACGGCCCAGACUCCUACGGGAGGCAGCAGUGGGGAAUCUUGCGCAAUGGGCGAAAGCCUGACGCAGCCAUGCCGCGUGAAUGAUGAAGGUCUUAGGAUUGUAAAAUUCUUUCACCGGGGACGAUAAUGACGGUACUCGGAGAAGAAGCCCCGGCUAACUUCGUG
RNAcentral lists this ribosomal RNA (433 nucleotides) under uncultured bacterium. Its description in RNAcentral is "partial 16S ribosomal RNA". It matches the Rfam family "Bacterial small subunit ribosomal RNA", at positions 29 to 507 of the family's 1533-position model. The record is from RNAcentral.